CUAAAUAAAAAAAAAAAAAAAAAAAAAAAAAAGAGUCCAAACUGCAUUGUCGUCAAUUUUUCUGAAAAACAAAGAGUAAAGUGUGAAGAGAGAGAAAAGUAGGAAAGAGGAAAAGAGUAAAGUGUGAGAAAAAAGCAAAGAGAGAAGAGAGGAAAAAGAAGAAAGUUUAAGGAAAGAACAAAGAGAAAAAGAACAAAGUGUGGAAAAAGAACAAAGUAGGAAAAUAGCAAAGUGUGAGAAAAGAGGAAAAAGAACAAAGUGUGAAAAUAGCAAAGUAAGAGGAAAGAGGAAAAAGAACAAAGUGCUGCUUUACUCUUGUGUUUGUUUGUUUCAGAUGCUGAGAGAUCAAGCGGUGGACGUUCAUAGAGGAGAGAUGCUGAGAGAUCAAGCGGUGGACGUCCAGAGAGCAGAGAUGCUGAGAGAUCAAGUGGUGGACGUCCAGAGAGGAGAG
This is a long non-coding RNA of Amphiprion ocellaris (clown anemonefish), 451 nucleotides long. NCBI's taxonomy places the organism in Eukaryota, Metazoa, Chordata, Actinopteri, Pomacentridae. The record is from Ensembl.